AGAGGUGGCAAGUGUUGUUCGGAUUUACUGGGCGUAAAGGGUCCGCAGGCGGCUUUGUGUGUCAGAUGUGAAAGCCCACGGCUUAACCGUGGAAAUGCAUUUGAAACUACAGAGCUAGAGUACGGGAGAGGAGAGGGGAAUUCAUGGUGUAGCGGUGAAAUGCGUAGAUAUCAUGAAGAACACCGGUGGCGAAAGCGCCUCUCUGGACCGAUACUGACGCUCAUGGACGAAAGCCAGGGGAGCAAAGAGGAUUAGAUACCCUCGUAGUCCUGGCCAUAAACGGUGCGCACUUGAUGUGGGAGGUUUACCCCCUUCCGUGUCGAAGCUAACGCGAUAAGUGCGCCGCCUGGGAAGUACGGCCGCAAGGUUA
RNAcentral lists this ribosomal RNA (370 nucleotides) under uncultured bacterium. Its description in RNAcentral is "bacterial SSU rRNA". It matches the Rfam family "Bacterial small subunit ribosomal RNA", at positions 527 to 896 of the family's 1533-position model. The record is from RNAcentral.